RNAcentral lists this ribosomal RNA (629 nucleotides) under uncultured bacterium. RNAcentral describes it as "bacterial SSU rRNA". It matches the Rfam family "Bacterial small subunit ribosomal RNA", at positions 201 to 825 of the family's 1533-position model. The record is from RNAcentral.
UGCUACGGCACCGGCCUAGAGAUGAGCCCGCGUCCCAUUAGCUAAUUGGUGAGGUAACGGCCCACCAAGGCGAUGAUGGCUAUCCGGCCUGAUAGGGUGUUUGGCCUAAUCGUGACUGUAAUACGGCCCAGACUCCUACGGGAGGCAGCAGCUAAGAAUAUUCCGCAAUGGACGAAAGUCUGACGGAGCGACGCCGCGUGGAUGAAGAAGGCCGAAAGGUUGUAAAAUCCUUUUGCUGAGGAAGAAUAAGUGUGGGAGGGAAUGCCCGCAUGAUGACAUGAAUCGGCGAAUAAGCCCCGGCCAACUACGUGCCAGCAGCCGCGGUAACACGUAGGGGGCGAGCGUUGUUCGGAAUUACUGGGCGUAAAGGGCAUGUAGGCGGUUAUGUAAGCCUGGCGUGAAAGUCCACAGCUUAACUGUGGGAUUGCGUUGGGAACUAGAUGACUAGAGUUACGGAGAGGGAGCUAGAAUUCCUGGUGUAGGGGUGGAAUCUGUAGAGAUCAGGAAGAAUACCGAUGGCGAAGGCAAGCUCCUGGCCGAUGACUGACGCUGAGGUGCGAAAGUGUGGGGAUCAAACAGGAUUAGAUACCCUGGUAGUCCACACUGUAAACGAUGUGCACUAGGUGCUG